Molecule: ribosomal RNA, 444 nt
Filed under: uncultured soil bacterium
Lineage: Bacteria
Description: bacterial SSU rRNA
Rfam family: Bacterial small subunit ribosomal RNA
Source: RNAcentral
AGAGCGAACGCUGGCGGCAGGCCUAACACAUGCAAGUCGAACGGACUCUUCGGAGUUAGUGGCGGACGGGUGAGUAACACGUGGGAACGUGCCUUUAGGUUCGGAAUAGCUCCUGGAAACGGGUGGUAAUGCCGAAUGUGCCCUUCGGGGGGAAAGAUUUAUCGCCUUUAGAGCGGCCCGCGUCUGGUUAGCUAGUUGGUGAGGUAAAGGCUCACCAAGGCUACGAUCAGUAGCUGGUCUGGGAGGAUGACCAGCCACAUUGGGACUGAGACACGGCCCAAACUCCUACGGGAGGCAGCAGUGGGAAUCUUGCGCAAUGGGCGAAAGCCUGACGCAGCCAUGCCGCGUGAAUGAUGAAGGUCUUAGGAUUAGUAAAUUCUUUCAGUAGGGACGAUAAUGACGGUACUACAGAAGAAGCCCGACUAACUUCGCGCCAGCAGCCGC